Molecule: ribosomal RNA, 253 nt
Filed under: uncultured bacterium
Lineage: Bacteria
Description: partial 16S ribosomal RNA
Rfam family: Bacterial small subunit ribosomal RNA
Source: RNAcentral
UACGUAGGGUGCGAGCGUUAUUCGGAAUGACUGGGCGUAAAGGGUGCGCAGGCGGUGCGUCAAGACGGAUGUGAAAGCCCCGGGCUUAACCUGGGAAAGGCAUCCGUGACUCGCGCACUAGAAUCUCGCAGAGGGAGGUAGAAUUCCACGUGUAGCAGUGAAAUGCGUAGAGAUGUGGAGGAAUACCAAUGGCGAAGGCAGCCUCCUGGGCGAAGAUUGACGCUCAAGCACGAAAGCGUGGGGAGCAAACAGG